AGUGGUUCUCAGGUGACACACCCCAGAAUCUGGCUUCCUCCUCUCUGGUUCCGGGUGCAUCACCUGAGAACCGCA
Molecule: non-coding RNA, 75 nt
Organism: Myotis davidii
Lineage: Eukaryota; Metazoa; Chordata; Mammalia; Chiroptera; Vespertilionidae
Source: Rfam